AUGAAUGUUCAAACAAAAAGAUCAAUUCUUGUUCCAAUGAAUGUUAAUGUUAUCUCCAAGCAUUUAAAGUUGGUUGGUAUGAAGAGACAUGUUCUACAUUCAAAUUCUAAACUUGUCUUUGUUAGCAAGAGAAGAGUGCCAAAUGGACCUGAUCCAAUACAUAACAGGAGAGCAGCAAAGUAUAGACAACCACCUAAUCAAGCAUGA
This is a non-coding RNA of Vicia faba (fava bean), 207 nucleotides long. The record is from the annotation of a GenBank genome assembly. Lineage: Eukaryota; Viridiplantae; Streptophyta; Magnoliopsida; Fabales; Fabaceae.